AGAGACUUAGGAUAGCUCAAACCGAGGGCCUUCAAAGCCCUAAACAAGAGACCACCCUCUUAGCCUCUG
Molecule: transfer RNA, 69 nt
Filed under: Physignathus cocincinus
Lineage: Eukaryota; Metazoa; Chordata; Lepidosauria; Squamata; Agamidae
Description: tRNA-Trp
Source: RNAcentral